CUGUCGAGGAGGAGCUGGAUGAAAUGUGUCUGUAGAGGAGGAGCUGGAUGAAAUGUGUCUGUAGAGGAGGAGCUGCAUGGAAUGUGUCUGUAGAGGAGGAGCUGGAUGGAAUGUCCCUGUAGAGGAGGAGCUGGAUGAAAUGACGCUGGAGCUCCACAGGCAGGGUCCCUCCAUAGCUGUGGAAAGUGAAGAAGGCAUUGAAGAUGACUAUUUUUUGGAGAGGCCUGAUGCCCGAAUUUCAGUUUGGCACUUACAGCGAAUCUGAGAGGAAAACCGAGGAGUACGAUACUCAGGCCAUGAAGUACUUGUCAUACCUGCUGUACCCUCUCUGUGUCGGGGGUGCUGUCUAUUCACUCCUGAAUAUCAAAUAUAAGAGCUGGUACUCCUGGUUAAUCAACAGCUUCGUCAACGGGGUCUAUGCCUUUGGUUUCCUCUUCAUGCUGCCCCAGCUCUUUGUGAACUACAAGUUGAAGUCAGUGGCACAUCUGCCCUGGAAGGCCUUCACCUACAAGGCUUUCAACACCUUCAUUGAUGACGUCUUUGCCUUCAUCAUCACCAUGCCCACGUCUCACCGGCUGGCCUGCUUCCGGGACGACGUGGUGUUUCUGGUCUACCUGUACCAGCGGUG
RNAcentral lists this unclassified non-coding RNA (628 nucleotides) under Homo sapiens (human). RNAcentral describes it as "CLPTM1 like (ENSG00000274811.3)". The record is from RNAcentral. Lineage: Eukaryota; Metazoa; Chordata; Mammalia; Primates; Hominidae.